GAGGGAAAGGCGAAAAGAACCCCGGCGAGGGGAGUGAAAAAGAACCUGAAACCGUGUACGUACAAGCAGUAGGAGCCCCAUCACUCAAGUGCCUCGCACUGAGUGAUGCAAUAACAUCACCGAAAAUAGCGCCGAAUUUGCUAACAAGGUUGGUCGAUUUUUUCAAGCCGUCGCGCAGUGUACCUAGAAGUACACGAGCAACGGAAGUUAAAAAAUCGGGCAAGAUUGAACGCAAAGGCAAGCGGGACAUUUGAGGAUGGGGUGACUGCGUACCUUUUGUAUAAUGGGUCAGCGACUUAUAUUCUGUAGCGAGGUUAACCGUAUAGGGGAGCCGUAGGGAAACCGAGUCUUAACUGGGCGAAUGAGUUGCAGGGUAUAGACCCGAAACCCGGUGAUCUAUCCAUGGGCAGGUUGAAGGUUGGGUAACACUAACUGGAGGACCGAACCGACUAAUGUUGAAAAAUUAGCGGAUGACUUGUGGAUGGGGGUGAAAGGCCAAUCAAACCGGGAGAUAGCUGGUUCUCCCCGAAAGCUAUUUAGGUAGCGCCUCGUGAAUUCAUCUUCGGGGGUAGAGCACUGUUUCGACUAGGGGGUCAUCCCGACUUACCAACUCGAUGCAAACUGCGAAUACCG
RNAcentral lists this ribosomal RNA (633 nucleotides) under Proteus mirabilis. RNAcentral describes it as "partial 23S ribosomal RNA". It matches the Rfam family "Bacterial large subunit ribosomal RNA", at positions 505 to 965 of the family's 2925-position model. Lineage: Bacteria; Pseudomonadati; Pseudomonadota; Gammaproteobacteria; Enterobacterales; Morganellaceae. The record is from RNAcentral.